Oenanthe melanoleuca is the source of this 2378-nucleotide long non-coding RNA. RefSeq lists it as uncharacterized. The transcript is spliced from 4 exons. The record is from RefSeq and is a predicted model, not a curated record. Lineage: Eukaryota; Metazoa; Chordata; Aves; Passeriformes; Muscicapidae.
AGCCGAGGGGGAAAAAGCGAAUCAACAAAAAUGGAAUGAGGCUUUGCCUUUCUAGAGCUUUCCCACAAAUUACAUUCAAAACAUGUUGCACGGCUCUAGGUUUAGAAAGCCAGAGCUGUGUGAACUGGAUGUGCUGAAUCCUACUGUGAAGGUGAACUCACAGAGCUCAGCCAGCCACGCUAUUUCUGACACAUUCGUCACUUCACUCAUUCCACUGUGAGCAGAUACAUCUUCUAGCCAUCCCAGUGAUUACCACUGCAGCAACAGGAAAUUCCUGGCCUCAUGCAAACAUCAAAAUCACUUGUGUAAUGGAAGACAUGCAUCUUGUAAUUGUCUACAAAUUUCCUGCACUGCUUGAAAUCACUGGUUUUCCUUUCAGCAUUAGGCUGUGCUACAACGCCCUGUUGGGGAAAUUUUGCCACAAUUUGAUCCUAAUACCUCAGAGGCAGAAGGUGUCAUACGAACAAUUGAUGGUUUUUGACUGCCAGGGCUCUGUUGCCCUACACGCAAAGGUAAUAUUUCUAUCAAGUUUAUGCCUAGAUUUUAUAUACACAUCUCAGAAAUUACUUGUUCUCUGUGAAAUUUGCAUAAUACCAUGCAGAGUCCAGCAGCUUCUCAAGCCCAAGAGGUCAUUAUGUUGGACUGAACAGACUGCUGUGCCAGUCCCUACUGCACCCAAACAGCAUCAUGCAGCACAGGCACACCCCAAGAGGGGCAUCCCAUCACUCUGCCGUUUCUGCCUUCCUCCUGCUUGUAAAGGCCUUGAGAUUUCCUCACCCUAUCUGCAACUAGCCUUGUUAAGUUCUUCACAGGAAAAUGGCACCAAGAGAGACAUUCUACCACCAAUUCUGCAAAUUAGCAAGUAAAAAUACUGCCUGGCAAACCACACUUUGUUUGUAUCUUUUACCAAUUAUACAUGUUUGAAUCACUUAUGGGAACGCUUCAUAACAUGCUGGUAAGCAUGCAACAGUAAGCUUUGUAAAAAUAAUCAAGAUUUGGUAAUAAGCCAAUUGGUACAGCCUCUGCUAUUCCUUGCUUUGAGGUAGGGAGAGACAGCCAAUCUGCAUGUGGAUAAACAAAGCUAUAGGCUAAACAGCAAUAUAAAGCAGCUGGAUUACAGGUCCUAGGAUAAAGAGGGAGGCAAACUUAGGCUGCUGUCUUGCUGAACAGCUGACCUGGAAGCAUUCCAUGCACUGGUCAUAUUACUGACCAGCCAGUUUCUGAACUGUUAAGCAGUUGCUCCAUUUUCCAUCACCCCAGAGGAUUGCCUAGCGACAAAUUACUGUGGUCCCCAGAGAAGGAAGCUGUGGUCUCCCAGAUGCACAAAUCAAACCACACUGAAUGGCUAAUACAACAAGGAUGGGAGCAGAUUUAUUAGUGGGGCAGCACUCACAAACCUACCAGCCAACACACAGACAGUAAUGCUGGUAAUCAAAAUAAGUUUGCAUGGGCUGAGAGAAUAUAUAGUAAAAAUUCAUUAAAAAUAUUAGCCAUCAAAAACUUGCUGUUAAGUAAGAUGUUAACCAUGGAUGUUAGGGUACUACUGACUAGGGGCUAGUCAUUCAUAUCAGUGGCAACUAAACUCCUCUAUUAAUCAAAUCUAGCAUUUUAAUUCCUGACAUUUAGUCUAAAUAUUGCCUUUUGUGUUGAAUGACCUAAAGCCAGGGAAUGUGCUAUUCAUAUCAGCCACCACCUCACAGGGCGUGUGAAACUGCAACACCUUUACUCACUAUGAAGACUAUAUUAGUGUGAAGACCCAGCUACUUUUCAACAUGAGGGAGAGCAAGCCUGCCUAUGUACAUGCUUUACAGACAAGAAGCCAGAGAGAGAAUAAAUAAAAGGACCUCCUCAGUGGGGCAUUUUCCUCGAUGUCCUCCAGAGUCUCCAGAGAAGAUCGCUGGGAGAUGAGCCGGCGUCUGCAGAGAAAGCAGAACACAAAACACCACUGCUGAUUAGAGGGCACAAGAAAGUCCUCAGAGCUGUUAUUCAGUAAACAAACCGCUCUUCACUAGCCAAGCCAUACCUCUGGAUAUUAAUAAAUUUUGUUCCGUUCUGCUUAUCUUAAUCUGUUUGAUUCCACCCAGAAGCAAACUUACUCCAUACAAGCUGCUACAGAAAAGCAGAAGUCACAGCUUUGCAACAGCUCCUCCUCAGUUUGUGCUCCCCUUCCUUCAAGGGUUUAACACCCAUCUAACACAGUCCCACAUGUGCUGCAGUACAGCUGGCAAUGCUACAAGUACAGAGCUUUGACAAAAUAAUGCAGACGUAGAUCCACAGAGACUGUCUGUCCUUCACACUGCCAUAGGAGACACUUCUCUGUGCCCCUUGCACCUUCUACCAAGCAAGUGCCACUUGUUUCUCCAUUAUGUCCAUCUCAG